AGGACGAACGCUGGCGGCGUGCUUAACGCAUGCAAGUCGAACGGGAUCCAACCAGUGGCAACACUGGGGAAGAUCUAGUGGCGAACGGGUGAGUAACACGUGAGAAACCUGCCCUGAAGAUCGGGAUAAGCCGGGGAAACCUGGUCUAAUACCGAAUACCUUCGUACUGUCGCAUGGCAGAACGAAGAAAUGGAUUCCGCUUCAGGAGGGUCUCGCGGCCUAUCAGCUUGUUGGUGGGUAACGGCUACCAAGGCUCCGACGGGUAGCUGGUCUGAGAGGACGAUCAGCCACACUGGGACUGAGACACGGCCCAGACUCCUACGGGAGGCAGCAGUGGGGAAUCUUGCGCAAUGGGCGAAAGCCUGACGCAGCAACGCCGCGUGGGGGAUGGAAGGCCUUCGGUUGUAAACCCCUUUCAGCAGGAACGAAUCUGACGGUACUGCAGAAGAAGGUCCGGCCAACGUACGUGCCAGCAGCCGC
This 480-nucleotide ribosomal RNA is filed under the name uncultured soil bacterium. Its description in RNAcentral is "bacterial SSU rRNA". It matches the Rfam family "Bacterial small subunit ribosomal RNA", at positions 26 to 518 of the family's 1533-position model. The record is from RNAcentral.